Molecule: ribosomal RNA, 254 nt
Filed under: uncultured bacterium
Lineage: Bacteria
Description: partial 16S ribosomal RNA
Rfam family: Bacterial small subunit ribosomal RNA
Source: RNAcentral
UACGUAGGUGACAAGCGUUGUCCGGAUUUACUGGGCGUAAAGAGCGCGCAGGCGGUCGUUCAAGUCGCGUGUGAAAGCCCCCGGCUCAACUGGGGAGGGUCACGCGAUACUGAUCGACUCGAAGGCAGGAGAGGGAAGUGGAAUUCCCGGUGUAGUGGUGAAAUGCGUAGAUAUCGGGAGGAACACCAGUGGCGAAGGCGACUUCCUGGCCUGUUCUUGACGCUGAGGCGCGAAAGCUAGGGGAGCAAACGGGG